UAUCAUCCUGGCACCAAAGCCCAAUUAUCAUCCUGGCACAAAAGCCCAGUUAUCAUCCUGGCACCAAAGCCCAGUUAUCAUCCUGGCACCAAAGCCCAGUUAUCAUCCUGGCACAAAAGCCCAGUUAUCAUCCUGGCACCAAAGCCCAGUUAUCAUCCUAGCACAAAAGCCCAAUUAUCCUCCUGGCACCAAAGCCCAGUUAUCAUCCUGGCACCAAAAGCC
This 222-nucleotide long non-coding RNA is filed under the name Vigna radiata. RNAcentral's name for it is "long non-coding RNA (VRAD_LNC014103)". The record is from RNAcentral. Lineage: Eukaryota; Viridiplantae; Streptophyta; Magnoliopsida; Fabales; Fabaceae.